GUAUAACUGUAGAGUUGCGGUGUCCGCAGCAACUCACAACGUUCCCCCUCGUUUUACUUAUAUCCACUGCUUCGAACCUUCCACCACCCAGUCAGUCAGUCCGCUACGUCGAAAGCACCUUACACCUAAAGCUAAGUUCACGGCCACGACUUCUAACAAAAACACACAAACAAUAUCGAAAAAUAAAUGCCAAAUUGUAACCUUAAUUGGAAAAGUUCGGCCGCUUCCAACAUUUUGGUGACCUCGACGUGAUUGCCAUGGACUUGUCGUGUGUUAAUGGUUUAACGUAACAUUAGCCGUAACGAGCCAAAGAUCGUUGUGGCCGAUCGUGGCAGUUAUAGCGGCCCGCUAUUCGUUUUCGCCUCUCUUUCGCCGUCUGCUUCGUGAUCGGCUGCACGUAUCUCUCUCUCGAGUUCGAACUCGAAAUAGUGCAAAACAUCUCGAUCGUUCGUUUGUGCAUAACUGUUGGUUCUUUUUCGGUCGUCGCUUCGCUGUUUUGCCGGCGCAUACAUUUUGGACAUACAGUCAGCACAACAUUUAUUCGGACACCCGUCUAAUUCAGCUUUCUUUAUAAAUAACUUGAAAAGUAUUUAACUUUAACAAACAAUUUGUAUUUCAUUUUGAGCAUGGAUGUUACUUAUACUAAUUUUAAACAUAAACACAAAAAAAACUUUCUUUGGCAUUUAAAAAAAACUUAAAAGUAUCAAAAAGGCCACUUUUUUACGCUCAAUAAUUAUUCGGACACAUUUUAGUUUGUACGAAAAAAACUGUACGUUUUUCAUUUACUUUUUCGGAUUACGUUUUCAGCCAAAACGUUUCGUUUUCGUUUUAAGGUGCUCCAGUUGUCACAUAUUUUUGUUAUCGAUAUGUUUCAUUUUUCAUCGUUUCUGGCAAAUAAAAACAGUUGACCUGGCUGCUUUGUAAAAAUACAGCGUGAUUUAAAUGCCUUUUAUUUUUUCAAUUGCUUGUUUUGAAGAAAAAGGUCGGCAGAAAUUUCGUUAUUUAAGAAGAUCCAGAUUUCAUAGAUGCAACACUUGUGUAUUUAACAUGGCUGACGAACUAAUUGUGAAGUCAUUUCGGAUCGACAAAAAAACUUUCAAAAUGAUUUUGGAGAAAGUUCAACCCCAUUUAGGUGUUACCUGGAAGCUAUCUCCCUCUACGCAAUUGGCUUCAGUAAUGCGAUAUCUCGUCACUGGCUGGUACCAAUGGGCAGUUUCCAAAGAGAAACAUUGGACGCAGUACAUUUGGAAGGACUCUUCACAAACUUAUUCAGUUGAUGGACAGGCUGUUAUGUGUUGAGUUCAUUUCGUUGCAGAUGAAUAAUCAUCAAUUGCAA
Molecule: long non-coding RNA, 1336 nt
Organism: Drosophila miranda
Lineage: Eukaryota; Metazoa; Arthropoda; Insecta; Diptera; Drosophilidae
Exons: 2
Source: RefSeq, a predicted model, not a curated record